Molecule: ribosomal RNA, 455 nt
Filed under: uncultured bacterium
Lineage: Bacteria
Description: bacterial SSU rRNA
Rfam family: Bacterial small subunit ribosomal RNA
Source: RNAcentral
GAUGAACGCUAGCGGCAGGCCUAACACAUGCAAGUCGAACGAGACCUUCGGGUCUAGUGGCGCACGGGUGCGUAACACGUGGGAAUUUGCCUCGGGGUAUGGAAUAACUCAGGGAAACUUGAGCUAAUACCAUAUAAUGUCUUCGGACCAAAGAUUUAUCGCCCUGAGAUAAGCCCGCGUAGGAUUAGCUAGUUGGUGGGUAAAGGCUCACCAAGGCGACGAUCCAUAGCUGGUCUGAGAGGAUGAUCAGCCACACUGGGACUGAGACACGGCCCAGACUCCUACGGGAGGCAGCAGUGGGGAAUAUUGGACAAAUGGGCGAAAGCCUGAUCCAGCAAUGCCGCGUGAGUGAUGAAGGCCUUAGGGUUGUAAGCUCUUUACCCGUAGAUGAUAAUGACAGUAUCGGGAGAAUAAGACUCCGGCUAACUCCGUGCCAGCAGCCGCGGUAAAGUGAC